UACGGAGGUUGCAAGCGUUGUUCGGAAUUACUGGGCGUAAAGGGAGCGCAGGCGGCCAGAUUAGUCUAAAGUGAAAGCCCGGGGCUUAACUCCGGAAGUGCUUUGGAUACUGUCUGGCUCGAGUUCGUGAGAGGAAAGCGGAAUUCCAGGUGUAGCGGUGAAAUGCGUAGAUAUCUGGAGGAACACCGGUGGCGAAAGCGGCUUUCUGGCACGAUACUGACGCUGAGGCUCGAAAGCAUGGGGAGCGAACGGG
RNAcentral lists this ribosomal RNA (253 nucleotides) under uncultured bacterium. RNAcentral describes it as "partial 16S ribosomal RNA". It matches the Rfam family "Bacterial small subunit ribosomal RNA", at positions 524 to 776 of the family's 1533-position model. The record is from RNAcentral.